AUCAUUUAGAGGAAGGAGAAGUCGUAACAAGGUUUCCGUAGGUGAACCUGCGGAAGGAUCAUUGUCGAUACCUGCAAAGCAGACCGCGAACACGCCUCCCGCCGCCCGCCGGCGCGCGCCCUCGGGCCGCGCCGCGCGGGCUAACGAACCCCGGCGCGGAACGCGCCAAGGAAAACCGAACGAAGCGUCCGCCCCACGGCACCCCGUUCGCGGAGCGUGCCGCGGGAUCGGUCGCCAAUCAUAAGUCAAAACGACUCUCGGCAACGGAUAUCUCGGCUCUCGCAUCGAUGAAGAACGUAGCGAAAUGCGAUACUUGGUGUGAAUUGCAGAAUCCCGUGAACCAUCGAGUCUUUGAACGCAAGUUGCGCCCGAAGCCAUUAGGCCGAGGGCACGUCUGCCUGGGCGUCACGCAUCGCGUCGCCCCCCACGCCCCGCGCUCGUCGCCGGGCUGUUGUUGGGGGCGGACACUGGCCUCCCGUGCGCCUCGGCGUGCGGCCGGCCCAAAUGAGAUCCCCGGGCGGCUGGCGUCACGACAAGUGGUGGUUGAACAUCUCAAUCUCUCUCGCGGUCGUGCCGCCGUGUCGUCCCGUGCGGGAAUCGAAAACGACCCAACGGUGCACGGCGCCUUACGGCGCCUCACCUUCGACCGCGACCCC
RNAcentral lists this ribosomal RNA (656 nucleotides) under Monarda citriodora. Its description in RNAcentral is "eukaryotic LSU rRNA". The stretch from base 253 to 408 matches the Rfam family "5.8S ribosomal RNA". Lineage: Eukaryota; Viridiplantae; Streptophyta; Magnoliopsida; Lamiales; Lamiaceae. The record is from RNAcentral.